Molecule: ribosomal RNA, 500 nt
Filed under: uncultured bacterium
Lineage: Bacteria
Description: partial 16S ribosomal RNA
Rfam family: Bacterial small subunit ribosomal RNA
Source: RNAcentral
AUUGAACGCUGGCGGAAUGCUUUACACAUGCAAGUCGAACGGCAGCACGGACUUCGGUCUGGUGGCGAGUGGCGAACGGGUGGGUAACAUAUCGGAACGUAUCCAAUAAUGGGGGAUAACUAAUCGAAAGGUUGGCUAAUACCGCAUACGCCCUACGGGGGAACGCAGGGGAUCUUCGGCCCUUGCGUACAUGGAGCGGCUGAUAUCUGAUUAGCUAGUUGGUGAGGUAAAGGCUCACCAAGGCGACGAUCAGUAGCUGGUCUGAGAGGACGACCAGCCACACUGGAACUGAGACACGGUCCAGACUCCUACGGGAGGCAGCAGUGGGGAAUUUUGGACAAUGGGCGCAAGCCUGAUCCAGCCAUUCCGCGCGAGUGAAGAAGGCCUUCGGGUUGUAAAGCUCUUUCGCAAGGGAAGAAAACUUACUUUCUAAUAAAGAGUGAGGUUGACGGUACCUUGAUAAGAAGCACCGGCUAACUACGUGCCAGCCGCCGCGGUAA